AUGCUGGCCUCAAUAAAACACUGUUCAACCAUCUCUCUGGCAUGUUCCCAGUCUGUCAUGCUGGCCUCAAUAAAACACUGUUCAACCAUCUCUCUGGCAUGUUCCUGGUCUGUCAUGCUGGCCUCAAUAAAACACUGUUCAACCGUCUCUCUGGCAUGUUCCCAGUCUGUCAUGCUGGCCUCAAUAAAACACUGUUCAACCAUCUCUCUGGCAUGUUCCCAGUCUGUCAUGCUGGCCUCAAUAAAACACUGUUCAACCAUCUCUCUGGCAUGUUCCUGGUCUGUCAUGCUGGCCUCAAUAAAACACUGUUCAACCAUCUCUCUGGCAUGUUCCUGGUCUGUCAUGCUGGCCUCAAUAAAACACUGUUCAACCAUCUCUCUGGCAUGUUCCUGGUCUGUCAUGCUGGCCUCAAUAAAACACUGUUCAACCGUCUCUCUGGCAUGUUCCCAGUCUGUCAUGCUGGCCUCAAUAAAACACUGUUCAACCAUCUCUCUGGCAUGUUCCCAGUCUGUCAUGCUGGCCUCAAUAAAACACUGUUCAACCAUCUCUCUGGCAUGUUCCUGGUCUGUCAUGCUGGCCUCAAUAAAACACUGUUCAACCAUCUCUCUGGCAUGUUCCUGGUCUGUCAUGCUGGCCUCAAUAAAACACUGUUCAACCAUCUCUCUGGCAUGUUCCCGGUCUGUCAUGCUGGCCUCAAUAAAACACUGUUCAACCAUCUCUCUGGCAUGUUCCUGGUCUGUCAUGCUGGCCUCAAUAAAACACUGUUCAACCGUCUCUCUGGCAUGUUCCCGGUCUGUCAUGCUGGCCUCAAUAAAACACUGUUCAACCAUCUCUCUGGCAUGUUCCCAGUCUGUCAUGCUGGCCUCAAUAAAACACUGUUCAACCAUCUCUCUGGCAUGUUCCCGGUCUGUCAUGCUGGCCUCAAUAAAACACUGUUCAACCAUCUCUCUGGCAUGUUCCUGGUCUGUCAUGCUGGCCUCAAUAAAACACUGUUCAACCAUCUCUCUGGCAUGUUCCUGGUCUGUCAUGCUGGCCUCAAUAAAACACUGUUCAACCAUCUCUCUGGCAUGUUCCUGGUCUGUCAUGCUGGCCUCAAUAAAACACUGUUCAACCAUCUCUCUGGCAUGUUCCUGGUCUGUCAUGCUGGCCUCAAUAAAACACUGUUCAACCAUCUCUCUGGCAUGUUCCUGGUCUGUCAUGCUGGCCUCAAUAAAACACUGUUCAACCAUCUCUCUGGCAUGUUCCUGGUCUGUCAUGCUGGCCUCAAUAAAACACUGUUCAACCAUCUCUCUGGCAUGUUCCUGGUCUGUCAUGCUGGCCUCAAUAAAACACUGUUCAACCAUCUCUCUGGCAUGUUCCUGGUCUGUCAUGCUGGCCUCAAUAAAACACUGUUCAACCAUCUCUCUGGCAUGUUCCUGGUCUGUCAUGCUGGCCUCAAUAAAACACUGUUCAACCAUCUCUCUGGCAUGUUCCUGGUCUGUCAUGCUGGCCUCAAUAAAACACUGUUCAACCAUCUCUCUGGCAUGUUCCUGGUCUGUCAUGCUGGCCUCAAUAAAACACUGUUCAACCAUCUCUCUGGCAUGUUCCUGGUCUGUCAUGCUCGCCUCAAUAAAACAUUGUUCAACCAUCUCUCUGGCAUGUUCCUGGUCUGUCAUGCUCGCCUCAAUAAAACACUGUUCAACCAUCUCUCUGGCAUGUUCCUGGUCUGUCAUGCUGGCCUCAAUAAAACACUGUUCAACCAUCUCUCUGGCAUGUUCCUGGUCUGUCAUGCUCGCCUCAAAACACUGUUCAACCAUCUCUCUGGCAUGUUCCUGGUCUGUCAUGCUCUCCUCAAUAAAACACUGUUCAACCAUCUCUCUGGCAUGUUCCUGGUCUGUCAUGCUCGCCUCAAUAAAACACUGUUCAACCAUCUCUCUGGCAUGUUCCUGGUCUGUCAUGCUCGCAUCAAAACACUGUUCAACCCUGUAUUCCCUCAUGUGGUCUUAA
This 1986-nucleotide long non-coding RNA is filed under the name Oncorhynchus kisutch (coho salmon). RNAcentral describes it as "lncRNA (ENSOKIG00005034286.1)". Lineage: Eukaryota; Metazoa; Chordata; Actinopteri; Salmoniformes; Salmonidae. The record is from RNAcentral.